This 536-nucleotide ribosomal RNA is filed under the name uncultured bacterium. Its description in RNAcentral is "bacterial SSU rRNA". It matches the Rfam family "Bacterial small subunit ribosomal RNA", at positions 767 to 1304 of the family's 1533-position model. The record is from RNAcentral.
AGCUAAUAGAUACCCAGGUAGUCCACGCCCUAAACGAUGUCUACUAGUUGUUGGUGGAGUAAAAUCCAUGAGUAAACGCAGCUAACGCGUGAAGUAGACCGCCUGGGGAGUACGGUCGCAAGAUUAAAACUCAAAGGAAUUGACGGGGGCCCGCACAAGCGGUGGAUUAUGUGGAUUAAUUCGAUGCAACGCGAAAAACCUUACCUGGCCUUGACAUGCCACUAACGAAGCAGAGAUGCAUUAGGUGCCCGUAAGGGAAAGUGGACACAGGUGCUGCGUGGCUGUCGUCAGCUCGUGUCGUGAGAUGUUGGGUUAAGUCCCGCAACGAGCGCAACCCUUGCCAUUAAUUGCCAUCAUUUAGUUGGGCACUUUAAUGGGACUGCCGGUGACAAACCGGAGGAAGGUGGGGAUGACGUCAAGUCCUCAUGGCCCUUAUGGCCAGGGCUUCACACGGUAAUACAAUGGUCGGUACAGAGAGUUGCCAACCCGCGAGGGGUAGCUAAUCUCAGAAAGCCGAUCGUAGUCCGGAUUGUUCU